This 253-nucleotide ribosomal RNA is filed under the name uncultured bacterium. RNAcentral describes it as "partial 16S ribosomal RNA". It matches the Rfam family "Bacterial small subunit ribosomal RNA", at positions 524 to 776 of the family's 1533-position model. The record is from RNAcentral.
CACGUAGGGCGCAAGCGUUGUCCGGAAUUAGUGGGCGUAAAGAGCUCGUAGGCGGUCUGUUGCGUCCGCUGUGAAAACUCGGGGCUUAACCCCGAGCCUGCAGUGGAUACGGGCAGACUAGAGGUAGGUAGGGGAGAAUGGAAUUCCCGGUGUAGCGGUGAAAUGCGCAGAUAUCGGGAGGAACACCGGUGGCGAAGGCGGUUCUCUGGGCCUUACCUGACGCUGAGGAGCGAAAGCGUGGGGAGCGAACAGG